GAUGAACGCUGGCGGCGUGCCUAAUACAUGCAAGUCGAGCGAACAGAUAAGGAGCUUGCUCCUUUGACGUUAGCGGCGGACGGGUGAGUAACACGUGGGUAACCUACCUAUAAGACUGGGAUAACUUCGGGAAACCGGAGCUAAUACCGGAUAACAUUUGGAACCGCAUGGUUCUAAAGUGAAAGAUGGUUUUGCUAUCACUUAUAGAUGGACCCGCGCCGUAUUAGCUAGUUGGUAAGGUAACGGCUUACCAAGGCGACGAUACGUAGCCGACCUGAGAGGGUGAUCGGCCACACUGGAACUGAGACACGGUCCAGACUCCUACGGGAGGCAGCAGUAGGGAAUCUUCCGCAAUGGGCGAAAGCCUGACGGAGCAACGCCGCGUGAGUGAUGAAGGGUUUCGGCUCGUAAAACUCUGUUAUUAGGGAAGAACAAACGUGUAAGUAACUAUGCACGUCUUGACGGUACCUAAUCAGAAAGCCACGGCUAACUACGUGCCAGCAGCCGCGGUAAUACGUAGGUGGCAAGCGUUAUCCGGAAUUAUUGGGCGUAAAGCGCGCGUAGGCGGUUUCUUAAGUCUGAUGUGAAAGCCCACGGCUCAACCGUGGAGGGUCAUUGGAAACUGGGAAACUUGAGUGCAGAAGAGGAAAGUGGAAUUCCAUGUGUAGCGGUGAAAUGCGCAGAGAUAUGGAGGAACACCAGUGGCGAAGGCGACUUUCUGGUCUGUAACUGACGCUGAUGUGCGAAAGCGUGGGGAUCAAACAGGAUUAGAUACCCUGGUAGUCCACGCCGUAAACGAUGAGUGCUAAGUGUUAGGGGGUUUCCGCCCCUUAGUGCUGCAGCUAACGCAUUGAGCACUCCGCCUGGGGAGUACGACCGCAAGGUUGAAACUCAAAGGAAUUGACGGGGACCCGCACAAGCGGUGGAGCAUGUGGUUUAAUUCGAAGCAACGCGAAGAACCUUACCAAAUCUUGACAUCCUUUGAAAACUCUAGAGAUAGAGCCUUCCCCUUCGGGGGACAAAGUGACAGGUGGUGCAUGGUUGUCGUCAGCUCGUGUCGUGAGAUGUUGGGUUAAGUCCCGCAACGAGCGCAACCCUUAAGCUUAGUUGCCAUCAUUAAGUUGGGCACUCUAGGUUGACUGCCGGUGACAAACCGGAGGAAGGUGGGGAUGACGUCAAAUCAUCAUGCCCCUUAUGAUUUGGGCUACACACGUGCUACAAUGGACAAUACAAAGGGCAGCUAAACCGCGAGGUCAUGCAAAUCCCAUAAAGUUGUUCUCAGUUCGGAUUGUAGUCUGCAACUCGACUACAUGAAGCUGGAAUCGCUAGUAAUCGUAGAUCAGCAUGCUACGGUGAAUACGUUCCCGGGUCU
This 1372-nucleotide ribosomal RNA is filed under the name uncultured bacterium. Its description in RNAcentral is "bacterial SSU rRNA". It matches the Rfam family "Bacterial small subunit ribosomal RNA", at positions 28 to 1381 of the family's 1533-position model. The record is from RNAcentral.